UAGGGAAUUUUGGACAAUGGGCGAAAGCUUGAUCCAGCAAUGCCGCGUGUGUGAAGAAGGCCUUCGGGUUGUAAAGCACUUUUGUCCGGAAAGAAAUCCUUGGCUCUAAUACAGUCGGGGGAUGACGGUACCGGAAGAAUAAGCACCGGCUAACUACGUGCCAGCAGCCGCGGUAAUACGUAGGGUGCAAGCGUUAAUCGGAAUUACUGGGCGUAAAGCGUGCGCAGGCGGUUUGCUAAGACCGAUGUGAAAUCCCCGGGCUCAACCUGGGAACUGCAUUGGUGACUGGCAGGCUAGAGUAUGGCAGAGGGGGGUAGAAUUCCACGUGUAGCAGUGAAAUGCGUAGAGAUGUGGAGGAAUACCGAUGGCGAAGGCAGCCCCCUGGGCCAAUACUGACGCUCAUGCACGAAAGCGUGGGGAGCAAACAGGAUUAGAUACCCUGGUAGUCCACGCCCUAAACGAUGUCAACUAGUUGUUGGGGAUUCAUUUCCUUAGUAACGUAGCUAACGCGUGAAGUUGACCGCCUGGGGAGUACGGUCGCAAGAUUAAAACUUAAAGGAAUUGACGGGGUCAUAGCUGUUUCCU
This 585-nucleotide ribosomal RNA is filed under the name uncultured bacterium. Its description in RNAcentral is "partial 16S ribosomal RNA". It matches the Rfam family "Bacterial small subunit ribosomal RNA", at positions 355 to 1375 of the family's 1533-position model. The record is from RNAcentral.